GAUGAACGCUGGCGGCGUGCUUAACACAUGCAAGUCGAACGGAAAGGCUCCUGCUUGCAGGGGUACUCGAGUGGCGAACGGGUGAGUAACACGUGGGUGAUCUGCCCUGCACUUCGGGAUAAGCCUGGGAAACAGGGUCUAAUACCGGAUAGGACCACAUUUUGGGUGGUGUGGUGGAAAGUUUUUCGGUGUGGGAUGAGCUCGCGGCCUAUGAGCUUGUUGGUGGGGUAAUGGCCUACCAAGGCGUCGACGGGUAGCCGGCCUGAGAGGGUGUACGGCCACAUUGGGACUGAGAUACGGACCAGACGCCUACGUGAGGCAGCAGUGGUGAAUAUUGCACAAUGGGCGCAAGCCUGUUGCAGCGACGUCGCGUGGGGGAUGACGGCCUACGGGUUGUAAACUACUUUCGCUAGGAACCAAGCGCAAGUGACGUUACCUGGAGAAGAAGCACCGGCUAACUACGUG
RNAcentral lists this ribosomal RNA (465 nucleotides) under uncultured bacterium. RNAcentral describes it as "partial 16S ribosomal RNA". It matches the Rfam family "Bacterial small subunit ribosomal RNA", at positions 28 to 507 of the family's 1533-position model. The record is from RNAcentral.